This 392-nucleotide ribosomal RNA is filed under the name uncultured Gammaproteobacteria bacterium. Its description in RNAcentral is "bacterial SSU rRNA". It matches the Rfam family "Bacterial small subunit ribosomal RNA", at positions 41 to 433 of the family's 1533-position model. The record is from RNAcentral. Lineage: Bacteria; Pseudomonadati; Pseudomonadota; Gammaproteobacteria.
GGCAGGCCUAACACAUGCAAGUCGAGCGGCAGCACGGGUACUUGUACCUGGUGGCGAGCGGCGGACGGGUGAGUAAUGCCUAGGAAUCUGCCUAGUAGUGGGGGAUAACGUCCGGAAACGGGCGCUAAUACCGCAUACGUCCUACGGGAGAAAGUGGGGGAUCUUCGGACCUCACGCUAUUAGAUGAGCCUAGGUCGGAUUAGCUAGUUGGUGAGGUAAUGGCUCACCAAGGCGACGAUCCGUAACUGGUCUGAGAGGAUGAUCAGUCACACUGGAACUGAGACACGGUCCAGACUCCUACGGGAGGCAGCAGUGGGGAAUAUUGGACAAUGGGCGAAAGCCUGAUCCAGCCAUGCCGCGUGUGUGAAGAAGGUCUUCGGAUUGUAAAGCAC